GCCGACACCACUCAUCUCUCUCUCUUCUCUCUUCUUUCCCCUUUCCCCUGCGUCUGGUUUUCUUAAUUUUUUUUUUACUAUUUUUUCUUUUUGGCUCCUCUUUCCUCACCACUCAACUCUGCAACAACCCAAAUCGAGAAGAAGAUCGAUUUUCAACUAUUAAUUUGUCUGUUUUGAAUUUGUUUUACAAAACCCGGUUUUCUGGCCGGUUUCCGGUUUUGUUGGUUCGACCGCGGUUUUCCCGGUUCUCAGUGUUUGACCCGGGUUUUAGGCAUUUUCGGUUUUAUGCAUAGAACCGGACCGGAUGACCAGCCGGUUCCCGGUUUAACCGGUCGAAUCGGCCGGUCCG
RNAcentral lists this long non-coding RNA (349 nucleotides) under Erythranthe guttata (spotted monkey flower). Its description in RNAcentral is "long non-coding RNA (EGUT_LNC002557)". The record is from RNAcentral. Lineage: Eukaryota; Viridiplantae; Streptophyta; Magnoliopsida; Lamiales; Phrymaceae.